GCAGCUGGGGAGGAGUAGCCACCGGCCUGAGGGGGAACUGAGGCCAGGAUGGCUACCCAUUAGCCAGACAGGGGCCAAAACCUGGGGCCCACAGCCAGGAUCCAGGCCCCCGGGACAGAUGGCCCAGUCCCGACACCUUGCGGCAAGUGAUGGGGGCUCCAGGCCGGAGCAAGGACGAGUUGGUGCAGGAGUGGAAGUACCAGCCUCACUGCCUCUAAAUGACCCGGGGGCUAGCACGGAGCCCAGUGAAGCCUCCUGCACUUAACCCAUCCCAGCCCCGAGAGCUGCGUGGGUGCCCACCGUCUGUCCUGUCCGGCAGAACCCAGGUGGGAGGAGCUGCUGUGAGGACCUCAGGAGGCAGGUAAUUUCUUCCAGACCCAGCGGGGGACCAGAAGUGCUCCUAGCCGCUUCACCCCACCCUCCCCCAAAAUUAACUACUGCUAAGCUCCCACCUUGCCCAAGCAAAGGGGUCGCCAGCCCUGCUGGCAGGCCGCAGAGCUGCUCCCUCACCAUGGCAGGCUUGCCGAUCUGUCCCUGUCGGCGUCUUGGCCCGAUGCUCUGCCAGCGUCCAGCAAGCCCCCAGAAGAGAUAACUAAGCACCGGAAGCCAGCUUCAGCACAAUUAUACUUUUUUAAUUCAA
This is a long non-coding RNA of Manis javanica (Malayan pangolin), 640 nucleotides long. RefSeq lists it as uncharacterized. NCBI's taxonomy places the organism in Eukaryota, Metazoa, Chordata, Mammalia, Pholidota, Manidae. The record is from RefSeq and is a predicted model, not a curated record.